CCAAUAGCGUAUAUUAAAGUUGUUGCAGUUAAAAAGCUCGUAGUUGAAUUUCGGGGUUAGUAAGUUGGUCAUGCCUUUGGUAUGCACUGGCUUUACUGAUUCCUCCUUCUUGACGAACCGUGAUGUCAUUAAUUUGGUGUUGCGGGAAAUCAGGACUGUUACUUUGAAAAAAUUAGAGUGUUUAAAGCAGGCUAACGCUUGAAUACAUUAGCAUGGAAUAAUGAAAUAGGACGUUAAUCCUAUUUUGUUGGUUUCUAGGAUCGACGUAAUGAUUAAUUGGGAUAGUUGGGGGCAUUAGUAUUCAAUUGUCAGAGGUGAAAUUCUUGGAUUUAUUGAAGACUAACUACUGCGAAAGCAUUUGCCAAGGAUGUUUUCAUUAAUCAAGAACGAAAGUUAGGGGAUCGAAGACGAUCAGAUACCGUCGUAGUCUUAACCAUAAACUAUGCCGACUAGGGAUCGGAUGAUGUUAAUUCUUUAAUGACUCAUUCGGCGCCUUACG
This 499-nucleotide ribosomal RNA is filed under the name uncultured Glomeromycotina. RNAcentral describes it as "partial small subunit ribosomal RNA". It matches the Rfam family "Eukaryotic small subunit ribosomal RNA", at positions 591 to 1092 of the family's 1831-position model. The record is from RNAcentral. Lineage: Eukaryota; Fungi; Glomeromycota.